This 1699-nucleotide long non-coding RNA is filed under the name Equus caballus (horse). RNAcentral describes it as "lncRNA (ENSECAG00000045687.1)". The record is from RNAcentral. Lineage: Eukaryota; Metazoa; Chordata; Mammalia; Perissodactyla; Equidae.
GAUUUUGAUUUUGCAGCCAAGGUUCAGAACUCCUGGGAGGAGAAAUGUUUCUCUUUAGAAUGGGAAGAUCUCAGGUAGAAUGAAGCUUAAAGUGCAAAAGAUUGCCUGGAUAUGUUCAGCAAGUCUAUUCAUCAUGGCUUAAUUGUUCACGAUGCACCAGGCACUGUGUGUGGAACUGGGUAUAAAGAAGAAAGGGACAGGAUACCUGAUUACAGGUAUCAGGAAGCUGAAGGAAGAGACCUGUGAACAACCAACAGCGCCAUGAAAAUUACAGCACUCUGAUCAAUAAGGAUACAAAAUGAGAGGAACAGAAACAGUGAUUUCUGCCCUUCCCAGGCAUUUCACAUUUUGGUAAACACAGAUAUUUGUCUGCAAUUACUUUCCUCUGAGAGUUGUAUUUUCUGGAGCCUUUUCAAAUGAGAAAUACUGGGAACUGAGCGGAGCUCCCACUUCAAGUGUCAGGGUCAGAGGAGCGGUGGUGAAGUGCCUCAGUACAUCACUUGAGUGGAAGAGCUUUCCAGUUAAUAUACUUAGGAUUUACAUGAGGUUUAUCUCCAGCCAGUGUGAGAUCUGAAAGCAGUUUCAACAGAGCAGAUUCAAGAAAUAAAAGACCAGGCCCACCAUUACCCAUCUUAAUAAAUAUGAGACUUCAUACACUUGCCUCGUUCUGAGAACUUUAUUUGAAGGAUGUUAAAAGCCAAGGGGCAAGAAUCACUUCUGGAAUGGUGGCGUGAAGAGCUCUGCAGAUCCACGCCCCUGUGAAACAGCCCUCACUCAAAAAAAUUAUAAAACAAAACAACCAGUUAAGGCCCCUAUAAAUUUUCCUAUGUUAUUACAGCGAAGGAAGAAUUGUUUGUUCAAGAAAUUCUACUAAAUCUCAGUAAUAAUAGUGAGUGUCUGUGGCACUUGUGCUACAACUUGCUCCCUCUCUUUCCCCAUCCUGGCUAAGUAUGACAGAAGCUCCACUCCAGCAGGUGUGGCCAAGAAGACCGGGCUCCCUCCAGCUCCCAGUCAAGGGCUGUGGUAUUGCCCAGAGAGAGGCAAGCUGCCGGCAUUUCUCACCCCUCUUCCCCCACUCUCCACUUCUAAUCUGCCACAGCUCUGUCUUCCAGAGGUCAAAUUCAAAGUAACUGUGGCGGAAAAGUCAAGAGCUCCUUUGCUCCACUUUGCCUCCACUCAUUUAUUUCUUGUGCUUUUGCAUCUGUUGUUUCUUCUGCCUGGAUGCUCUUACCAGGGAUCUUCCCCGGCUAACGCUUUCUUAGCGUUCAAAUAUUAGCUUAAAUGUCUUCUCUUCAGAGAGGCCUUUCCUGAUCAACCAGACUUAGCUAUAUACUCUCCACUAUGUCAUCCUCUUAAAUGCAGAGUGUUAUUACUAGAUAGAUCUUUUGAAUUUAAUUACUUUGUUUUCUUCCACUAGAAUCUAGAUUCUAUGAAAGUAGAUGCUUUGUCUUCUUUGUCCACAUGAUAACGUGUAAGAUAGUGUGGAAACUCUAACCUGUAGAAGGCACUCAAUAAAUGUUUGUGAAUGAAUGAAAGGUUUUAAUUAUAUGGUGUAAACUGGGAAUUUGGAUACAUAUAAGCUGAUUGGGACCUGGUGCCAAAGAUACCCAUUAAAUAGUGAAGAAAGUUCUAGAAAUCGAGUCUGUAACUGAAUUGGGAAGAGAUACAAUGCUUAGCUCAGAGGGAAGGAUGUUUAUAU